This 494-nucleotide ribosomal RNA is filed under the name uncultured bacterium. Its description in RNAcentral is "partial 16S ribosomal RNA". It matches the Rfam family "Bacterial small subunit ribosomal RNA", at positions 28 to 507 of the family's 1533-position model. The record is from RNAcentral.
GACGAACGCUGGCGGCGUGCUUAACACAUGCAAGUCGAACGGAAAGGCCUGCUUUCCCUUGUGGAUUGCGGGUACUCGAGUGGCGAACGGGUGAGUAACACGUGAGUGAUCUGCCCCCAACUUGGGUAUAAGCCUGGGAAACUGGGUCUAAUUCCCGAUAGGACUGCAGGGUGGUGCCUGUGGUGGAAAACGAUUUUCUAGUUGUUGGGGAUGAGCUCGCGGCCUAUCAGCUUGUUGGUGGGGUAAUGGCCUACCAAGGCGGCGACGGGUAGCCGGACUGGGAGGGUGGACGGCCACAUUGGGACUGGGAUACGGCCCAGACUCCUACGGGAGGCAGGAGUGGGGAAUAUUGGACAAUGGGCGGGAGCCUGAUGCAGCGACGCCGCGUGGGGGGUGACGGCCUUCGGGUUGUAAACUCCUUUGGACCGCGAGGAAGGCACCUGGUUGGAAGGGUGGUGACGGUAGUGGUAGAAGAAGCACCGGCUAACUACGUG